Molecule: ribosomal RNA, 567 nt
Filed under: Fusarium oxysporum
Lineage: Eukaryota; Fungi; Ascomycota; Sordariomycetes; Hypocreales; Nectriaceae
Description: eukaryotic LSU rRNA
Rfam family: 5.8S ribosomal RNA (bases 229-382)
Source: RNAcentral
GACCAUUUUUAUUCGGUUUUUUUUUGAAGGGUUUAAAAAUGAACAAGGUCUCCGUUGGUGAACCAGCGGAGGGAUCAUUACCGAGUUUACAACUCCCAAACCCCUGUGAACAUACCACUUGUUGCCUCGGCGGAUCAGCCCGCUCCCGGUAAAACGGGACGGCCCGCCAGAGGACCCCUAAACUCUGUUUCUAUAUGUAACUUCUGAGUAAAACCAUAAAUAAAUCAAAACUUUCAACAACGGAUCUCUUGGUUCUGGCAUCGAUGAAGAACGCAGCAAAAUGCGAUAAGUAAUGUGAAUUGCAGAAUUCAGUGAAUCAUCGAAUCUUUGAACGCACAUUGCGCCCGCCAGUAUUCUGGCGGGCAUGCCUGUUCGAGCGUCAUUUCAACCCUCAAGCACAGCUUGGUGUUGGGACUCGCGUUAAUUCGCGUUCCCCAAAUUGAUUGGCGGUCACGUCGAGCUUCCAUAGCGUAGUAGUAAAACCCUCGUUACUGGUAAUCGUCGCGGCCACGCCGUUAAACCCCAACUUCUGAAUGUGACCUCGGAUCAGGUAGGAAGCCGAGUCCC